RNAcentral lists this ribosomal RNA (497 nucleotides) under uncultured bacterium. RNAcentral's name for it is "partial 16S ribosomal RNA". It matches the Rfam family "Bacterial small subunit ribosomal RNA", at positions 28 to 507 of the family's 1533-position model. The record is from RNAcentral.
GAUGAACGCUGGCGGCGUGCCUAAUACAUGCAAGUCGAGCGAACGGACGAGAAGCUUGCUUCUCUGAUGUUAGCGGCGGACGGGUGAGUAACACGUGGAUAACCUACCUAUAAGACUGGGAUAACUUCGGGAAACCGGAGCUAAUACCGGAUGAUAUUUUGAACCGCAUGGUUCAAAAGUGAAAGACGGUCUUGCUGUCACUUAUAGAUGGAUCCGCGCUGCAUUAGCUAGUUGGUAAGGUAACGGCUUACCAAGGCAACGAUGCAUAGCCGACCUGAGAGGGUGAUCGGCCGCACUGGAACUGAGACACGGUCCAGACUCCUACGGGAUGCAGCAGUAGGGAAUCUUCCGCAAUGGGCGAAAGCCUGACGGAGCAACGCCGCGUGAGUGAUGAAGGUCUUCGGAUCGUAAAACUCUGUUAUUAGGGAAGAACAUAUGUGUAAGUAACUGUGCACAUCUUGACGGUACCUAAUCAGAAAGCCACGGCUAACUACGUG